This 10587-nucleotide long non-coding RNA is filed under the name Mytilus galloprovincialis (Mediterranean mussel). Lineage: Eukaryota; Metazoa; Mollusca; Bivalvia; Mytilida; Mytilidae. The record is from RNAcentral.
GAAAGUGAUGUUCCAAUAUGGAUGCUGGCCAAAUAAUGUUUUAUGUUGUUUUGUUCUAUCUGCCCAGUAUACAAUGUGUUAAAUUGGGAGUUUGCAGCAAAGAAAAAAGGUAACAUAUACAUUGAUUUGAAUUCCAAACUUCACCUUCCCCUAUUGGUGCAGUGAAUGUGUAUUAUUCCUUAUAAAAUAUAAUACGGGAUCGAAAUGAUAUAGGAUUAGCAUUCAUUUCUCGAAAAAAAGAUGGUUUACUAUAUAGAAGUCUAGCAAUAUAUCAAGCUUAUUAAACCUUUGAACUUUUGUAUGGCCGUAUCUGUGUUUUUAAUUGUCAAUUUUGUUUUCUGUUUGUGGUCUCAAAAUCCUAUAUUCAUACCAAAGCGUUUAAAUGUAUUUUCGUUAAUCUCCACAUUACUCUUUGGCAUGUACAUAGUUAUAUCAAAUUUCAUUUUGUUUCUCCUUCUAGAAACUUGGGUACCUUUACUCGUUUACCACAGACUAAAGUUUCAUUUAAAUCCCAAAAGUUUUGUUAUUUCUAAAUAAUGAUAUCACCCUUUCACCUCUAUUUUCUCCCAAACCUAAAAACGUCCAUAUAUAAAAAUAAGAAGAUGCAGAAUGAUUGUCAUUUAGACAGCCUUCCACAAAAGAUCAAAUGACCAAGAAUCUAACAACUAUAUGUCACUAUAUGGCUUUCAACAAUGAGCUCAACCUUUAUCGCAUAGUCAGCUCAAAUAGUUAUCAAAAGUACCAGGAUUAUAAUUUUAUACGCCAGACGUAAAAGUUAUUAAAUCUAUUUAACAUAAUUUCAAAAGGAACACAACGCUUAUAUAAAUUAUUUUUACAUUUUACAAUGCAGUUGGAUGCAAUAUUUCUUAACUUUAGAGAAUCACUUAGAGAAUUGUUAUUCAAUGAGACAACUAUCAGCCGGAGUCAAAAUGUAGUGGUAGUAAGCAAGUAGGCCACAUUAUGGCUUUCAACAAGAAAAGGCUCGAUCAUGAAAAAUUUGAAACAACUCAAAAGAGAAAACUAAUGGCCUAUUCAAAUACAACAAUUUACAAAAAAACAUAUAUCAAAGACACGAGCCAACGACAAUUUGUACUACAAGCUAUUAACUUAGAAUAGAUACAUACGUUUUGUUCAAAAUUAAAAGAUAUGAGUAUAUAUAUUUGCAGUGUUAUGGUCAGUGGACAAACCGUUAUAAGAACAUUAUACUUUUGUUGUCGUCACUAUGAAGAAAGCAGUGGAAUAUGCGAAGGUAAUAUAUGUAUAUCUACUUGUUAAAUGGAAGUUUAAUGCUAGUGAAAUGUCAAAUAAUUGGAGCCGGGAUAGACUGCAUAGAUAAAUGAGACGUUACUAUACGAAUUAAUUAUUAGAAAAUAUGUUAUUAAUCUCGAAUUUUAUAUAAUUCACUGCACGAAAUGAAUACCAAUAACAUUUACUGUUUUCGAGUUUUGCUUCUACAGUAUUAUAGAAGGAACGACAAAGACCAGCAUAUUUAACCCAAACCAAUAUCGAAUGUUGAUAUAUUUAUUUCCCAGGACGUUUAUUUAGCAAUAAACCCCAUUGACUAGUGGGAUGUAGGAAUACGCAGUCACUUCUAGUAAGAAUGUCGACGUUAUCAAAAUGGUAAAACGGAAACACACUUGCCUGCUUAGAAGCGUGUUUGACACAAAGAGAGCAACAAGUCACACUGCAAGGGACAGUUCAAGUACUGCUAAAGUAACAUCCGGCGUACCCCACUGAACAAUUUGAGGACCAUUGCUGUUUCUCCUAUACAUAAACGACAUAGGGUACGACAUAACAUCAAUGAUUCGCCUGUUCGCUGAUGAUAGCUUACUUUACCUAGCUAACGAUAUCAACAAAGGAUUCAAUAACUAAAAAGAGACAAACCAUCAACUUCAACUGCAACAUCAAUGGACAUAUCUUGUAAUCAGUUGCAUAAUACCCAUACCUAGGAGCUGAAUUUACCAACACAAUGGCAUGGGACAAACAUGCUAACGAAGUUGUCACUAAAAUAAAAAGAGCACUAGGCUUCAUUCGAAGAAAUGUUGGAUUCUGUCCUGAGGAAGUCAAGAAACAAGCCUAUAUUGCCCUUGUCCGACCUCACCUUGAAUACGCUUUAUUCAAAGCAACUACCCAAGAGAGCCUGGGACAGUUACACGACGUUUAGAAGAAUUUAACCUGAUACCACUAGAAACCAGAAGAAAAAUAGCAAUUAUAUCGCUCUUUCAUAAAGCCAUCCAUGAAAAGGUUGCUAUACGGCCUAUUCCAUUGCAUAUUCUAAAACCAAGAAGAAAUUUGAGACUCCAACAACCGAAUAUUAAAAGAUACGUACAGAUCAGGCCAAACAAAGAUAUUUAAAGUGCAGCUUUUUUCCGCAGACCAUAAGAGUCUGGAAUAAACUACCAGACGAACUAUAUAUUAGAGAUUGAGAGCAGUGAGCAAUUCAAGACAAAACUCACCAACCUUCUCUGUAGUUGCUAACCAACACAAACAAAAGGUAGAUGAUGCUUUUAUCCAGCACCUGAACAUAAAUUUUGAGCACAAUUUGGAACUUUUGUUUAUCAAAUGUUAUAUACAAAUUUUGUGUCAUGUUGGAAGACGUCAAACUAACAUUUAUACUUGAGUGAUGGGUUAAAGUACCUUUUUCGUAAAUGAAAAGCUCAAUAGUACUCCCUGCUCGUUUAAGAACCCUUCAAAUAGCUCUAAGAGGUGUCUGUGCAUGGCCCGAAAGUGCUCUCGUGGUCUUUAUCUAUUUCCUCUGCAGAGGUUACCUUAAUUACUAGUUGUUUUUGUUAAAAUGCUUUAGUUCUAGGGCGUAUAAGAGAUACAAACUCAUAAAAGUUUUAAUAGGGUUUUGAAGAUAUAUUAAACAGUGGUAAUAUGGCAAAUUUAGUGCCAAUGUUUUUUUAAGCGUCUCUAGAAAAAAAUCCAAUUGCUUUGUCUCGGAAUAAUGAAAUGAUAUAGGAAUUAGUUCAAUUUUAAAGGACAUUGGUAUUUGAAUUUCUAAAAUAAUCAAAGUAGAGUUGAAAGGAGUUAAUAAAAAGCCUUAACCGAUAAUUCCUAAGUUGCUCUUGAACAUCUUGUAAGGAAUUAAAGGUUCAAUUUAGUAGAACGUUAUGGAAUAUUCAUUUCAAAUAUGCCAACCAAAAAUGUUCAUCGCAAGUGACUUGGCACCAAAUUUUAAAUGAGUAAUUCGACGAUCAAAAGUGAAGCAGGAAUCGGUUACAAUUCCACGACUGCUAUUAGUGCGGUGACAGAAGUGUAAAAAGUCGUCUAGAUCGCGAGUUUAAUCUCCCCAAAUAACACACGGCUAAAAAUGGUCUUAACUUAAAGACAAAUAUGUCUUCUUUAGUUUUUGCCUGUCGUCAGAAUUUUCGUACGGUCACUUUUUCUAAAAGUCGUUUUAAUGACUGGUAGUAUAUUGGGAGUUUCAACCCCCUUUUUUUCAAAAUGAAAAAAUGGGUAUGUUUGCUUACAUUUAAUUGAAAUAGUUUUUCCUGAGCUAUUUUUACAUGUCAAAAAUAUGCUAUUCAGUAUUUUAUUUCUUCUAAUCUAUAAAAUUGUGAAGUUUAGACUAUUUAAAAUUGAGGUAAUUUUAAUUGCAAAUUCAGAUCAAACUUUAGUUUCUUCUUCAUAGUAGUAAUAAAAAUUAUCCCAUAAUAUUUUAAGCAUAUAGUAAUUUAAUAAAACUAAUAAUGAUAAAAAUUUCGGAACCAAAAUAUGAAAACCUUAAGAAAUCAUGGAAAAAGAAUGGAGUAAAAAUCUUCAAUUUCAACACGGAACUCAAUCACUUGCCUUCCGUCCCAUUUUGUGUAUUAGUCAAUAAUUUGCUCUCAAAUGAUAUAUGAAAUUACUACCUUUUUCGCUAUUAUAUACACAUAUUUUCAAUCAAAGUGCACUGAUAUAUGCCACAUACUUUGUUUGUAUAUGUUUAUAUUCUAUGUUUUUUCGUUAUAAACAUCAAAUAUACUUUGUCAGAAAGUCUUAUUGUAAAAUCAAAAUAAUUGACGGAUAGUUUCAGUAAAUAUUCCGUGAUUGUCAAGUCCUUUGCAACUUGCUCGAUAAGUCCAAAGAACAGACAAAGUCUUUAAUUUUACUCAGUGAAUAAAAAAUAUGCUAAAAAAACCUCGAUUGAAAUUUUGAGUCAAUUUACCAGUUUAGGGAAGUCGACUUUUGUAUCUGCAUUGCAUAAAAGAUUGGAUGAGGGGAACAUCAAGAUGUUUCAUGCGAUAGCUGUUAAUUUGAAGAACUCCGUGCAGGAAGUUUGACGACAUACAAUUAUCUGACUGUUGUCCCUCAGUUUCGGGUAUUCAGUGUAGUACACGUUCUAGAAUGCAGUCGUUCAUCUGGAGCGCCUGUAUAUUUUGUUGCAACAAAACAUUUUAGAAAGAUAAAAAAUUACUCAAGUUUGAAUCAGAUGAGCGCAUUAAAAAUGUUUUAUCCGUGUCAGAUAAAGUUAAAGUUGAAAUAGUUUCCCGUCCAUCUUUUAAACUUCAAGCACUCUGUCAUUUUGGUUGCAUUACAAAAUAUUUGCUAAAAACGAAAAUAAAAAAAAUCCAAACCCGUGGAAGCAGAUAUUUCAGAACAUGAUACUGCUUUUUACUAAUUCUAUUUUGGCUAUUGACACACGAUUUAAUGGUCAUUCCUCAUGGCACCGUUACUUGAUAAAUAUAGAUCAUUUCUUCAGGCUGAUUCUAAUUCUAAAAUAGUCUACAUGUAAAAUGCAGUCUUAACUCAUUUAUUUCUAUAGAAAUUCAGUUGUCAAACAACUUUAACAAGUUCAGGCAAAUAUAACAUAUUAUUAGUAGCAAAUUAAACUAUUUUAGAUGCCAAUAUAAGCUUUUAGUCCAUUGAAAACUGACCUCAAAAUCUCAAUGUCAACUGUAAUAGACACAAAAAACGGACAGAUAUUUAAUUCCGCUGCAAGUUUACUUAGAAAGACAUCGAAACUCUAAAGAAGACUACCCAACUUUAGAUGAAUUGUUUCUUCCUUCUUAAUUCAGUCAAUGCCUUCGUAUUUAUUGCAAUUCAUUCUAUGGUUACUCAAUGAAACUGCAUACAGCCAAGACUAUUCUCAGGAAAUGGCACCAGAGAAAUUGUGGAAAUGCUAAGCAAUUGUUGAGGCAAUCAUUUUUGUUUUACUCCUUUUCAUUUAGGAUUGGCUUUACAAAUGUACCGUGAGUUUGGUUCAAAACACCUUGUUGAAACAUUGAAUGCCAAUGGAUUUUAUGCUUCUUAAAUAAAGUGCGACGCUACAUAAUGUGUUACCAACCAUGAAAUUAAGCGAAUUCAAGAUAGUGUGUACUUCUCGUAUGAUGUUUCCCCAGCAUCUUUGCAGACAAGCAUAUGGAUGUCAUCAACACUUCUAAACCCCUUAUAGAUCUCUGUUAAAUCUUGAUGAAUUGAUAGGGAUGGUUUGAAGCUGGUUUUUUUAGGAACAAAUGUCUUCGGACUUCCUACAAUACCUUGUCUGUACUUGUAAAGAAAAACUCAAAAUAACGUGUUUUCUUUGAGCAGAACCUUUCAUGUGCAGACCUGUGGCCAUGAGUGAAAUGUGUAGAAAUAUUAAAACAUGUCAAAAUGUUAGAAUUAUUAUAAAUUAAGGAAUGUAUCUCCCUCAUGCAAAGCUCUGAUUCAUUUCACGGAUUUGGCUAAUUUUUGGAACUUUUGGAUUAUAGCUCUUUAUCUUUAAUAUAAGCUUUGGAUUUCACAUAUUUUGGCCACGAGCAUCACUGAAGAGACAUGUGUUGUCGAAAUGCGCAUCUAGUGCAGAAAUGGUACCGUUAUUGUUAUUGUAACAGUUGAUAAAAAUGAACAUGAUGGAGAUAAGGGUUGAUUUGGUAUAAAGCUGUUGCACUGGUACACACGAAUCCAGUCCCGAGGUUAGGGGAUUGUUGGCGUGCCCUUAAAAAAAGUUAAACCCCGCCAUUAUCUGUAUGUGUCAGUUUUAAGUUACGAGACGGUAAUGCAGUGUUUGUCGUUUGUUUCUAUAUACUUUAUUAGUUUCUUUAUUAUUUAUUUUGUACAUUAUCAGGCCGUAAGAUUUUUUGUUUGUUUUACAUUAUUCGUUUCGGGUAUGAAGACUUUGCAGUAUGACUUUACUUAUUGUUGAAACCCCGUACGGGGACCUAUAUUUGUUUAGGUCUCAUUGGUCUCCUUCGGAGAGUUGUCUCAUGCAAUCAUAUCACAUCUCUUUUUUUUUUUAUGGAAUAUUUUGAAGUUGUGGUAUUUGCAAGGGAAAAGGGGGGAUAAAGUUACACAACCUAUAAUGUAAAAGAUAUUAACCAGAGUUAAAUACACAACAAAAGAUAAUACUAUGGUAGCAGUAAUAAUUGUGAAACAAAAACAAAAAGCAACGAGUAGUCUAUAAAAAACCUGAAGUAUCCGCAAAUUCAAUUUGAGGUCAUAUUUGACUGUAGCGUUCUAUGGCUUUGGUUUGUACCUCACCCAAUUGAUAGUUUAAAAAUUAUUUUAAAUAUUGUCCUGCAUGACACUUGAUUUUACCUGAAUUGAUAUUUUUCAUAAGGUAAGGUGCUCUUAACAUUUUAUAGGUUGAAACUUGAUUUUUGAAGUUUGUUUAUAUAACGUCGUUUUAGGAAUUUUUUUGAAAAAAAAUCCAAUGAUUAAGAUUAUGUAUAAUAACAAACAUUACUAAAGCCAAAACAGUAUCAUUUGUAUUUAGGUAGAGUUUAGAAAUAGAAAAAAAUGUCAAAUGAAACCCCCAAAUUUUCACAAAUUUUUUACAUAUGACCUUUGACCUCAAUUUAAAAAAAUGUGACCAUCAAGUCCUGACGACAGGCAUAUUAUUAAGUACACGAUUUCCUCUUUCCAAUGAUAUAUUAUGUAGGUGUGUGUUCGGUGGGGAGAUUAAAUUCCAAAAAAUCUGCCUUCAGUCACCGCACUAUAUGUGACUCCCUUUCGAUUUUUUUUGCAUAGUACGUAAUUACAGGGUAGUAUUAUAGUCUUUUUGGUUUACUAUUGUUUUGCCUUUCAGCAGUUUUCUAUCUGGUAAACUGUCCAGUUUUCUUGGACUGUAUUUUUUGGUUAUAAUCUAUUCUUGAAAUAUUACAUGUAUCCCUCUUUUUGUAUACUCUCAAUAUUUCCUCGACUAUCAUGAAAUUAAUACUUAUUCCAAUGACAUAAUACAUAUGUUAAUACAAGGACGCAUUACAAUAGCAUAAAGUAAAUUGAUAAAAUAUGUUUUUUUUUUAAAUUUUAGAAUGCGAUACAGGAUAUGAAUCUAAUGGAACAAGAUGCGAACCUUGCAAGACGGGUCAGUUUGGUAUAAAAUGUGCAGACACAUGUCAUUGCAAAACACACGAAAGGUAUGGACUUAUAUUUUGUACUACACCAAACUUUACAUGAUAAUAUAAUGUUAAUUCGAGAGGAUUAUUUCUUGUCAAUGUAAUAUGUUAAUGACGUUCAUUAAAAUUACAAAAUGGCAGACACAAUCCUCUUUCAGUUUAGAAGGCAUGUGAACGCAUUCUUUUGUUUUUGUUUCAGAUUAAAAGCUGUUUAAAUGAUUUGCUAUUCGAAAAUCAUGGAUAUAUUAUCUACCACAAAAAUACUAAGAAUUUUUUAAUUGUGCUGUGAUGAUAUUAAUCAUAAUCUGUAUUGUAACCAAGUCUUUACUAUAAUAAAAUGAAGGGAUUAAGCCAUUUACUUUUUUAUGCAGGUAAACGAAACAGUGAACCAAAACAGUGAAUUAUAGUUUUCAAGAUAUAUUAUGUUAUCGACACACUGUCUGAAAACACAGAAACGAAAUAACACUGUAUUGUUGUCAAUAUAAUUGAUGUUAUGCGACUGUUAUAUAAGUGAGAGGUUUGGCUAUCUAUAUAUCCAGAUAAAUUCAAACUAUCAUUGUCUACAUAAGGAUAUGCCCGCAACAAGUUAGGAAUAUGACCGAUGUUAUCCAUUCGUUUGAUGUGUUUAAACUUUUGAUUUUUACAUCUGAUUAUGGACUUUCGGUUUAGAAUAUUCCUCGGAGUAUUUUUGUUAUUUUACCAUUUAUCAAUAAUUGUUAUAUUUUUCUUCAUUUAUUCAGCUGUGAUCAUAUUCGGGGAUGCAUACAGUCCACAAAUCAGCUUAUAACAGGGGAACAUAUAACUCCUAUCACAGGUAAAUAAUUAGGGUGAAACAAUUUAGGCAUUUCCUUUUCAACUAUUUUAAGAGAAAUGUAUUUUGUCCUAUCAUUUUUACCGAUUUACUACUUGUAAUUUUUCUAUGAUCAUUGAGUUUAAAUUUCUAUUUUGUGACGUGCAUUGUCCAGCAAGCUGAAGAUAUGCGUAUACGUCCCUGUCUCCUAAUGAUGCAAAAUAACCGUCAUUGACUGAAGAUUCCAAACAGAUGUUCCCAAACGCUUGCUUGCUUUCUUGAAUGAUUGCUUUUGAAAAAAAUAACCCAACUUAAUAAGAUGACUAUUCCAUAUUUUCAUUAAAAAUAUUUCUAUAAUAUUAGAUAUCUACCGUUCCUAAAUUAUAUAAAAUAAAAAUGGUAAUUACAAAUACAUGUAUCAACACUUCUUUAAAAAUAAUAGAUAUUUUUUAUACAUUAAUGGUGCAACAUGUCAAGCUUUCAAAGUAGAGUAUACACAUUUGACAAAAACUACCCAUGGUCUGACAUCAACACUCAUUUUGUAGGUGCAAAGGUUGUUUUGUAAAUACUUAAUCGGUACCUCCUCCUAUACCUAGAUAUAUUUAUGAAUGUAAAAGGAAAAGCCAAACAUUAAUUUGUCUCAUCAAAACCAUUAUAUUUUUUAUGAAAUGCCUCAAAUGAAAGUAAAACAAAACCAUUCUUUAAAAUUUCAUGAUUUUUGUUUGUUAUAGAGAAGACAGCAAAGGACUCUGAAAAUGAAGGUAAAAUAUUGAAACAUGAUAAUUAGAAAACGUUGUUGUUUAUCUUCACACAUUUGAUUUUGAAUAAAAUAACAAAACUAAUAUGUACUAUUAUAAUAAGACAGCAAUGACAUUAAUGGUACAUAUAAUACUACGUUAGAAACCCAUUUCGAUAGUUAAUAUGUCUCCAGGGCUAAUCAAUUUCAAAAUAUUUGAAAUCAAAAUAAUAUUAGAACGUUUUUAAAAGAUAUAAAUCUUAGUUUGACAUCGUAGUGUGUUAUAAUUUUCGGUUUAUUUAAGUCUUAUACAGCAUUAGUAAUAUCACUCAAAUAAGGAGACCUUGGGGAUAUUAUACAUUACAGAGAAAACCUAAAAGUUUUCAAUUGUAAUAUUUCUUCACUGUAUAGUUUUGGAAAAUCUAAUAUAAAAAAAUAUUAUUUUUAGGUUUUCUAAACAAGGAGAGUGGUGUAUAUUUUGGUAGUUUCGGAUUACUGGCAUUUGUUAUAUGUAUUUUAAUGGCUUAUAUCUGUUAUAAAAAGGGUAAAAGAAAAGCAGGUGCAAAUGUGCCUAAAGAAAAUACAAACGAAUUGGCAAUGGAUAUAAAAUGUCUUGUUCAUGGGACCAAAGGUGAGAUGAUCACAAAUGAAAAUGAUUAUGACGAAAUUGACGAGAGGUACUUGUCCGAUAUCAAAUCGGCAGUAAAUCAAGAAAAAGAUAUCAAGAAAAAGGAAAAAGUUCAGCCAGGUGGAAGCAAACAUUCGAAAAAAGAAAAAAACAACAGUUCUAGCAAUCCUUACCAACUAGUUGUUUCUUCUGCAGUAGAUGUUCACGAGUACUCAUCCCCUGAGAAGGGAGACAACUCGGAGGAUAAUUACCGGGAUUCGGGGUACCUUCAUCCAUAUCAACCACUGUCACUGGAUACCAAAAUUCUUAAACACGACUAUACUGAAUGUAAAGAUUUAGAUAUUGUCGAAUCUAAAGCCACAAUAGACAAUACAGAUCUUAAACAUGACUAUACUGAAUGUGAAGAUUUACAGAGUGUUGAAGCCCUUACCAGAAACACUAAAGAAGACAAUGCAGAUAAAGAAUUCGAAGCAGUGAAAGAAGAAGACACAUCUCUUUCGGUUUAAAUAUGAAAAUGAAACCGACUUUUUUAUGAGCAAAACUUCAAACUAGAAAUACGAUAUUUUAGCAGAAUCAAUGUAUCUGAAACAACCUGUACAUAUAUUGAAAUAUUGUUUUGAAUACAAAAAACGACACAUUACAUCGCAAUUGCUUCUACUGCGGAACUGUGAUACUUAUAUAUCAAAAUCCAGAAUGAUUAUUGCUAAAAUUUAAAUUAAUUCAACGCUUGCGGGAUAAAUCAAUUAAUUCACUAAAUUUGUUACUUAUAGGAAAAAAUAGAGAACAAAGAGAUAUUUUCUUUUAAAAUUGCACCAGUGCCAUGCAAUGGAAUCAAAGAUUUUCUAUCUUUAUAAAACAUUUAAAUUUCGGUUGUUUACCGUGUUCACAAUGGUAUAAACAUACACAUUAUGAAUUCGUAAAAUUAGCUCUCAAACUGAAAAUUUCAUAGAUUUGAGGACUUUUAUUUUAGUUUAAAACCAAAACUAAAUCGAAAUGAUACGCUUUACCAAAAAUCUAAAAUCGGUUUAAAGUAAUUUUAGAAAUAUUGGUUUUCGGAUAUAAAUUGAAAUACUUCGGUUAAUGUCGAUUUUUUUUUGAAAACACGCAACAUAAAUUUUAUACCAUGCAUUAU